This 1708-nucleotide ribosomal RNA is filed under the name Staphylococcus aureus. Its description in RNAcentral is "partial 23S ribosomal RNA". It matches the Rfam family "Bacterial large subunit ribosomal RNA", at positions 1218 to 2925 of the family's 2925-position model. Lineage: Bacteria; Bacillati; Bacillota; Bacilli; Caryophanales; Staphylococcaceae. The record is from RNAcentral.
UUGGACAAUGGUAGGAGAGCGUUCUAAGGGCGUUGAAGCAUGAUCGUAAGGACAUGUGGAGCGCUUAGAAGUGAGAAUGCCGGUGUGAGUAGCGAAAGACGGGUGAGAAUCCCGUCCACCGAUUGACUAAGGUUUCCAGAGGAAGGCUCGUCCGCUCUGGGUUAGUCGGGUCCUAAGCUGAGGCCGACAGGCGUAGGCGAUGGAUAACAGGUUGAUAUUCCUGUACCACCUAUAAUCGUUUUAAUCGAUGGGGGGACGCAGUAGGAUAGGCGAAGCGUGCGAUUGGAUUGCACGUCUAAGCAGUAAGGCUGAGUAUUAGGCAAAUCCGGUACUCGUUAAGGCUGAGCUGUGAUGGGGAGAAGACAUUGUGUCUUCGAGUCGUUGAUUUCACACUGCCGAGAAAAGCCUCUAGAUAGAAAAUAGGUGCCCGUACCGCAAACCGACACAGGUAGUCAAGAUGAGAAUUCUAAGGUGAGCGAGCGAACUCUCGUUAAGGAACUCGGCAAAAUGACCCCGUAACUUCGGGAGAAGGGGUGCUCUUUAGGGUUAACGCCCAGAAGAGCCGCAGUGAAUAGGCCCAAGCGACUGUUUAUCAAAAACACAGGUCUCUGCUAAACCGUAAGGUGAUGUAUAGGGGCUGACGCCUGCCCGGUGCUGGAAGGUUAAGAGGAGUGGUUAGCUUCUGCGAAGCUACGAAUCGAAGCCCCAGUAAACGGCGGCCGUAACUAUAACGGUCCUAAGGUAGCGAAAUUCCUUGUCGGGUAAGUUCCGACCCGCACGAAAGGCGUAACGAUUUGGGCACUGUCUCAACGAGAGACUCGGUGAAAUCAUAGUACCUGUGAAGAUGCAGGUUACCCGCGACAGGACGGAAAGACCCCGUGGAGCUUUACUGUAGCCUGAUAUUGAAAUUCGGCACAGCUUGUACAGGAUAGGUAGGAGCCUUUGAAACGUGAGCGCUAGCUUACGUGGAGGCGCUGGUGGGAUACUACCCUAGCUGUGUUGGCUUUCUAACCCGCACCACUUAUCGUGGUGGGAGACAGUGUCAGGCGGGCAGUUUGACUGGGGCGGUCGCCUCCUAAAAGGUAACGGAGGCGCUCAAAGGUUCCCUCAGAAUGGUUGGAAAUCAUUCAUAGAGUGUAAAGGCAUAAGGGAGCUUGACUGCGAGACCUACAAGUCGAGCAGGGUCGAAAGACGGACUUAGUGAUCCGGUGGUUCCGCAUGGAAGGGCCAUCGCUCAACGGAUAAAAGCUACCCCGGGGAUAACAGGCUUAUCUCCCCCAAGAGUUCACAUCGACGGGGAGGUUUGGCACCUCGAUGUCGGCUCAUCGCAUCCUGGGGCUGUAGUCGGUCCCAAGGGUUGGGCUGUUCGCCCAUUAAAGCGGUACGCGAGCUGGGUUCAGAACGUCGUGAGACAGUUCGGUCCCUAUCCGUCGUGGGCGUAGGAAAUUUGAGAGGAGCUGUCCUUAGUACGAGAGGACCGGGAUGGACAUACCUCUGGUGUACCAGUUGUCGUGCCAACGGCAUAGCUGGGUAGCUAUGUGUGGACGGGAUAAGUGCUGAAAGCAUCUAAGCAUGAAGCCCCCCUCAAGAUGAGAUUUCCCAACUUCGGUUAUAAGAUCCCUCAAAGAUGAUGAGGUUAAUAGGUUCGAGGUGGAAGCAUGGUGACAUGUGGAGCUGACGAAUACUAAUCGAUCGAAGACUUAAUCAA